Molecule: ribosomal RNA, 879 nt
Filed under: uncultured bacterium
Lineage: Bacteria
Description: bacterial SSU rRNA
Rfam family: Bacterial small subunit ribosomal RNA
Source: RNAcentral
GCAUUUGUGACUGUAUAGCCGAAGUGCGGGCAGAGAGGGAUGGAAUUCCGCGUGUAGCAGUGAAAUGUGUAGAUAUCCGGAGGAACCCCGAUGGCGAAGGCAAUCCCCUGGGCCUGCCACCGACGCUCAUGCACGAAAGCGUGGGGAGCAAACAGGAUUAGAUACCCUGGUAGUCCACGCCCUAAACGAUGUCAACUGGUUGUUGGGUCUUCACUGACUCAGUAACGAAGCUAACGCGUGAAGUUGACCGCCUGGGGAGUACGGCCGCAAGGUUGAAACUCAGAGGAAUUGACGGGGACCCGCACAAGCGGUGGAUGAUGUGGUUUAAUUGGAUGCAACGCGAAAACCCUUACCCACCUUUGACAUGUACGGAAUUCGCCAGAGAUGGCUUAGUGCUCGAAAGAGAACCGUAACACAGGUGCUGCAUGGCUGUCGUCAGCUCGUGUCGUGAGAUGUUGGGUUAAGUCCCGCAACGAGCGCAACCCUUGUCAUUAGUUGCUACAUUUAGUUGGGCACUCUAAUGAGACUGCCGGUGACAGACCGGAGGAAGGUGGGGAUGACGUCAAGUCCUCAUGGCCCUUAUAGGUGGGGCUACACACGUCAUACAAUGGCUGGUACAAAGGGUUGCCAACCCGCGAGGGGGAGCUAAUCCCAUAAAACCAGUCGUAGUCCGGAUCGCAGUCUGCAACUCGACUGCGUGAAGUCGGAAUCGCUAGUAAUCGUGGAUCAGAAUGUCACGGUGAAUACGUUCCCGGGUCUUGUACACACCGCCCGUCACACCAUGGGAGCGGGUUCUGCCAGAAGUAGUUAGCCUACCCGUAAGGNGGGCGAUUACCACGGCAGGGUUCGUGCCUGGGGUGAAGUCGUAACAAGGUAACC